CGACGUAGGUAACCUGCCCAUGUGUCCGGGAUAACUGCUGGAAACGGUAGCUAAAACCGGAUAGGUAUACAGAGCGCAUGCUCAGUAUAUUAAAGCGCCCAUCAAGGCGUGAACAUGGAUGGACCUGCGGCGCAUUAGCUAGUUGGUGAGGUAACGGCCCACCAAGGCGAUGAUGCGUAGCCGGCCUGAGAGGGUAAACGGCCACAUUGGGACUGAGACACGGCCCAA
This 228-nucleotide ribosomal RNA is filed under the name uncultured bacterium. RNAcentral's name for it is "partial 16S ribosomal RNA". It matches the Rfam family "Bacterial small subunit ribosomal RNA", at positions 113 to 334 of the family's 1533-position model. The record is from RNAcentral.